This 644-nucleotide long non-coding RNA is filed under the name Equus caballus (horse). Its description in RNAcentral is "lncRNA (ENSECAG00000033576.3)". Lineage: Eukaryota; Metazoa; Chordata; Mammalia; Perissodactyla; Equidae. The record is from RNAcentral.
GGAGCAAGUCAUGACCACUAGGGUGUCCUUUAAAAGAGAUGCUCUUUAAAUAUUUGUUCACUGUGUAUUUAGAGUAGAGGCUGAGAAUUUCAUGAGGGAAAGAGGAAAGGGACCAUCGCUCUGGAUAGUUAGACUGAAAUGGAGCUCAGGACCUCCUCUUAGCUCAGGAAGUUCCUGUUUUCUUCAAUGUCAAAUAGCAGUGAAAACAAAAAAUCUCCCACUUCCAGUUCUAGGAGAAUAUUAGGCUGCACAGAUCCAGAGACUAACUUCUGGAGUUCCAGGGAAGUGCUGAACCAGAUGUCCUGGUGCAUGAGGCCUGGUUUCUCUACCAUAGCAAAAUUUAGAAUCUGCAAAGUGGACACCAGCCUAACCUGUAACAUAGAAGUUCCUUGCCCUCAUGGAGUUCACGGAACUUGGAUAUAGAAAGAUGGACUUCUAGAUUAGCCUCCUGAAGGGUCCAAAAGAGUGAAGUCCAUCAAACAUGGAUGCAUAAGGUAGAGGAAAAGAGUGACACAGAAUCCGUUACAUGAUGCUGCUGAGCAAGAAUUUUCAGUUGAUGAGAAUUACAUAUUAAAUAUGAAGCCCUUCAGGAAUCUGUUUCUUUCUAUCAGUGCGGUCUACCUUGUUGAUUUUUCAACAAAAUU